UCUAGUUUCAACGAUGAGGCAUAUAUGUCAACUAUGGGUGUUGACUCCAACAAUUCUCAUUGGUCUCAAACCAAUGGCAUGCAUUUCGAUGACCAUGAGUUUGAGGUGGACGAGGAUGGUGAUGGCAUCAUCGAUGCACCAAAAGGAAGAGGAGGCGACUACACCAAUGAUGAAGACAUCUUGCUAUGCAAUACUUGGUUGCAAGUGUCGAGGGAUCCCUCCGUUAGAGGUGAUCAAAGUAGAGAUCUAUAUUGA
Molecule: ribosomal RNA, 255 nt
Filed under: Triticum aestivum (bread wheat)
Lineage: Eukaryota; Viridiplantae; Streptophyta; Magnoliopsida; Poales; Poaceae
Description: partial small subunit ribosomal RNA
Source: RNAcentral